GACGAACGCUGGCGGCGUGCUUAACACAUGCAAGUGGAGCGACGAACCAGGCUUCGGCCUGGGGCAGAGCCGCGAACGGGUGAGUAACACGUGGGUAACGUGCCCCGAUGACUGGGGACAACCCGAGGAAACUCGGGCUAAUACCGGAUAUGCCCCCUCACGAGAGUGAGGUAGUGGUAAAGGAAGCUUCGGCCUCCGCAUCGGGAGUCGGCCCGCGGCGCAUUAGCUUGUUGGUGGGGAACGGCCUACCAAGGCGACGAUGCGUAGC
RNAcentral lists this ribosomal RNA (268 nucleotides) under uncultured bacterium. RNAcentral describes it as "partial 16S ribosomal RNA". It matches the Rfam family "Bacterial small subunit ribosomal RNA", at positions 28 to 287 of the family's 1533-position model. The record is from RNAcentral.